Molecule: ribosomal RNA, 253 nt
Filed under: uncultured bacterium
Lineage: Bacteria
Description: partial 16S ribosomal RNA
Rfam family: Bacterial small subunit ribosomal RNA
Source: RNAcentral
UACGUCUGGUGCAAGCGUUUUCCGGAAUUAUUGGGCGUAAAGGGCGCGUAGGCGGUGCGGUAAGUCACCUGUGAAAUCUCCUGGCUCAACUGGGAGCUUGCAGGCGAAACUGCCGUGCUGGAGUGUGGGAGAGGUGCGUGGAAUUCCUGGUGUAGCGGUGAAAUGCGUAGAUAUCAGGAGGAACACCUGUGGCGAAAGCGGCGCACUGGACCACAACUGACGCUGAGGCGCGAAAGCUAGGGGAGCAAACAGG